RNAcentral lists this long non-coding RNA (221 nucleotides) under Sarcophilus harrisii (Tasmanian devil). RNAcentral's name for it is "lncRNA (ENSSHAG00000029038.1)". The record is from RNAcentral. Lineage: Eukaryota; Metazoa; Chordata; Mammalia; Dasyuromorphia; Dasyuridae.
CCCGAUGAGCUCUACGGAAGCUGAGGAGGCCAGCGUGUGUUCUGGACGAGCUAAUGGAACCGCAUUAAGCUUUGCAGUGGACUGAGCUGGGGAGUAGGGGCCACAGAAGUCCUGAAUAGAUAUCAGCUCAUCUUGUUCAGGAGUAAAUCUAUAACCCAUGGAUGGAGUUGAAUGAUAUCAUUUGAGAAUAAAAGAUCCCAAGGUGUGUGAUGAAAUCUGAG